This 563-nucleotide small RNA is filed under the name Pan troglodytes (chimpanzee). RNAcentral's name for it is "processed transcript". Lineage: Eukaryota; Metazoa; Chordata; Mammalia; Primates; Hominidae. The record is from RNAcentral.
GUAGAUGCCCAUUAAAGGAUGCCCAUGUUUGGGAUACUAACAAGGCAGGAUAGAACGGAACAAUGCAGUUCUGCCUUUGUUCGAACAAAGUGCCAGUGGUGCAGCACCCUCACCAUGUCCACCCCCUCACGCCUCUUAUCACGUACAGCAAUGAACACUUCACGCCAGGAAACCCACCUCCACACUUACCAGCCGACGUAGACCCCAAAACAGGAAUCCCACGGCCUCCGCACCCUCCAGAUAUAUCCCCGUAUUACCCACUAUCGCCUGGCACCGUAGGACAAAUCCCCCAUCCGCUAGGAUGGUUAGUACCACAGCAAGGUCAACCAGUGUACCCAAUCACGACAGGAGGAUUCAGACACCCCUACCCCACAGCUCUGACCGUCAAUGCUUCCAUGUCCAGGUUCCCUCCCCAUAUGGUCCCACCACAUCAUACGCUACACACGACGGGCAUUCCGCAUCCGGCCAUAGUCACACCAACAGUCAAACAGGAAUCGUCCCAGAGUGAUGUCGGCUCACUCCAUAGUUCAAAGCAUCAGGACUCCAAAAAGGAAGAAGAAAAG